Long non-coding RNA from Anas platyrhynchos (mallard), 11537 nucleotides. RefSeq lists it as uncharacterized. The record is from RefSeq and is a predicted model, not a curated record. NCBI's taxonomy places the organism in Eukaryota, Metazoa, Chordata, Aves, Anseriformes, Anatidae.
UUGAAACCAGAGCUGGGGAUGCAGCACUCUGAAGUGGAAAUGUCUGGAAAACUCUGAGGCUGUGGGAUCCCGAUGGAACAUGUGGUUCUCCUCUAUCAGCUGCAGCAGUGAGGGUUCUCUGAGAUCUGACAGGAAUUACAUGGGAGAACUGGGAGCUGUAUUGUCAAGGCAAUGCAAUGUCCCUUCAGGUAGAUACUGGUAUCUGAAACUGCUGACCCUGCUUGAGUUGAGAAAGGUCAUUCACUGACCUCUAAAAUGGAAGCCCCCAUGAAAUGUCCAUCCAGGCUAGAAGCACAGAUAACACCCAGAACUCUCUCAGAUGACAUUCAUCUUCAUCUGGCAUGGACACAAAUUAAUGGGUGGUAAGGAAGCUGAAACAGAGACCAGUACAAGACCUGGCAUGUAAAUCACCCAAGGUUGUGCUCUCCUCAUGCUUCGAGACGUAGCAUGAUCCAAUGCAAUGAUCAUGCUGGAUGUGAAGAACACUUAAUGUCUUUUAAUUAGGUUUUGAAGUAAUGCAUGCCAACACCCUGUAACUACUUCAGCCUUGACUCAUUCGUGAAGAUGCAUGCCAUAUGUAAGAGACCAACAUAAAAAGGAUGACCCCAAAACUAACACAUUUCACUGUUGACGUAUGCUUCUUUUUCAGACUGUGAAGCUCAGCUGACAUGCUCAAUGCCUGCCUGCAUGACACAGGCUGUCAUUAUUCAUUAUGGACUUGGUCUCAGUACUGUGACUCCAGGAAGCAAGUGUUAAUUGGUGUGAACAAAAAUGAAGGUUUUGACUUCUUGUAAACAACAGACAAAGGGCUUUGCAAUGGCUUAUCAGACAGACAGACUGGAACAGAGCUCUCUGUUAUUAGCAUUACUUCAUCUGAAAUGCUUUCAGCUUGGGAAUUUGGGGGAGGGAAUAGCAGACUCAAGUUUAGAAUGAUAACUCUAUAUUUGACUGUUGUUGCAGAGGGAUAUGUUCUCUAUUAAGGAGGGUCUUCCAAGGCAAACUGGGAGAUGUAGGGUCCCAGCUUCACACAGAGCAAGUCACUUCACAUUCCUGCACCUUUUCACCUCUUUUUAAUCCCUCUCUCUUUUUAAACUUCUAUGACCAAUGGUCUUUUUUCUCUAUAUAUUUUUUUGGACUUAUAGAGCACCCAUUUCCACUGGAUGUUUUAAGGCGAUACUUUGAUAGAAUAGUUUAUUUGAGCAUGAAGCAUCUUCACCACCACUCUGGUAGCCAGUAGUUUAAAAUUUGCAUGUUAUCAACUGUAUUUACUGCAUUUACUUUAUCAUGGAAAAUGCAUUAACAAUUACAAACCAUCAUUUUAUGGAGAGAAAAGCUUGUGGCUUUCCACAUGGUACAAAUGUGUGAACCUUGUCAAUUCAUUUCUCUCUCAGGCUACUGUGCCAAGACACUUACACCUUGAUGUGAAAAUCAAUUGAUGCAUCUAACAAGUGUUUACUUCUUCUCCAGCAGUAGCUGAGGAGGGUCAGAAAAAUUAGAUGUUAACAUUAGACAUUUUUACAAAUCAGCAUCUUGGAGCAAUUUGCACCUGAGUAUUUAGAGUAGGUAGUAAGACUCUGGCUAGGAAGUCCAGUAAAGCAACAGAUGGUUCACCCAUGUCUUUGGCAGGAGAACCUCCAAAGUGGGUGAGUGUAGGAGGAUGUCAUUUUGUGGGCACCUUCUUGGCCAGGGAGGAAUUAGCCUCACAAAUAUUGAGCUGAAUUUUUUUGAAUACUCCUCACAAAUAUUGAGCUGAAUUUUCCAGGACUAUCUGUUUAGUCCAGGACUAUCUAAACAGAUAGUCCUGGACUAAACAGAUAGUACUGGAAAACUCCAUUCCAACUCAGAGCUUGCCCACUUGAGCACAACUUGAGCACCAAUGAUUAUUCCAGUUACAUGAAACACCACAUGAGUGAGAUCUGACCAUGUUUCUUCAGGAAAUUCAGGAUGUGCUGACUAACUUCACCAUUUUGUAUCAGCACCCAUGUGUCUGCAAAGAGAGGGAAUGCUUUCCCCUGCAUUUACUGUGUAUUCCUUGUAUUUUGUCUGGAGCUGCGAUAGAUUCCAUAUGGACAUUUUCCCUUUCAGCUGCUUAUAGAUUCAGGUCUUCUGAGGUGGCUCUUCCAAGUCUAGGCAUGAGGCCUACUGAUAGUUACUACAGAGAAAGUCCCACCAGCUGUCAUCUAGCAGCAUUUUUUAAACAAGUGAAAUGUUUCAUGAGCUAGUCAGAAUCAGGCUGGAUUCUGACCUCAGUGACAUGAAGGUAAACCAGGGAUAUCUGCUAUGCUGAGGCAGGGCUUGUCCUGAGCACUCAUGUUGGCAGCAAAAACCUGCUCUCCACCAAUAGUCACUAUAGCUAAAAUAAAACCUGAUGGGGGAAACUGCAUUUGUUCGAGGAUAAAGACAUACAAGGCAAGAUAAACCAGCAAUUCCUUCCCUGACUCUUCCUCACAAAACCAAAAAGUUAAGUGGUACCUUUAGAAAAUAAAAAUUAUGAGAGGGCCUUGCAGGGUUUACAAGAGAUUUGGUCUGAAACAAAUCAGAUCGGCUGCAGUUUGCCAGCCAAAUAAAGCCUGCGACCGGUGGGCAUGGGAGAAAGAGAAAGGCAGUGGAGCUAUCUGGGGGCUAACAAAGAACAAAUUGCCAGCUCUCAGGCUGAGCUCAAAGUAGAGGUUAAUGAAUGAUGUGGGUAGAGAUGGACAUUGAGCAAUGGGCAGAAUGGAAAAACAAACAAACAAACAAACAAAAAACAGUCAGAGUAGGUCUCCAUUAUUUUGAAAAGACAGAAAAGGGCUGUGUGAGAACAAAAUAUCUUGCUGAUUUGUAGAGAAUACAAAAGCAUCACAAGUGUUUUUUCCUGACUCGGUACAUACCUGCUCUGAACUGGUUUACAGAGCUAAUGAACAGUUAUCUUUUUCAAGACAGGAAAUCAGUCAAAAUGUAGAGGACAGCAAGUUAUAUCUUAUUGAAGGAACAGAUGAUAAAGGAAAUUAGUGGCAAUGAACACAAAGUUUAUUUACAAAGGAGCCAAAUCUAAUCCGUCUCCUUGUCCUGAGAAAAAUCUCACUACAGAUUUCCCAACGCUCCCAAACUGCUUGCUAGACAGACCUUUACCUAAAUAUUUUUUUUCUCUCUCUCUCUCUUUUUUUUUUUUUUUUUUUUUUUUUUUUUUCUUCAGAGUAACCCUACAAAGACUUCUCUACUAUCAGUUUCAAUGAGCCUUAGUUUAAGCCUAGGAAAUAUUUUUUUUCCUAUGCCAUACAUUCACAUGUGGAUGCAUACAAUAUUAAAAUAAAAACACCACCACAUUUCUUUUUCACUUUUCAAGUCUGACUGAAAACCCUUCACUUGUGCAAUGUGGAUAUACCAAAAUUCCCUUAGGCAUGGUAAUCUGUAUUAAGCCAGAUGCCAGACUGGAUCCUAGGUCUGCGGUGCAACAAAUGAUGUUUCCCACUCCAUGAUCCGAAUCACUUGAUCCCAUUCACAGUGAGGUCCAGGCAUUACUAAGCGGCAGCAGUAAACUAUUAUUAUUAUUAUUGUUAUUAUUAUUAGUGAUAAUAAUAAUAAUAACAAUAUUCUAGCUGUUAUUCUAAUUCUAUUUGCACAAAUUUCUUUGGGGGUUAAAUGAUUGAGUUAAUGGGAUAUCGUGAUUCAGUCACUGCAUAACUGUUGAAAUUGUAGAUGGUUGGAGGCUUUGUGAUAGGAAACAUUGUCACGUUUCCAGCUUUUUCUUUCACACUUAUCUUCUCCAGUUUUAUUUACGUAGACCUUACCUGAAUUUGGGGCAAAAAGUUGUCACAAGUAGCUUCACUCCAAAGGACAACACUUUGUUAGUAUUAAAUCCAUUAUUUUUGUUUUAAAUAAAUGGAGAAAAAAAGUACAGAUGGUCAUCUGAUUGUAACACUCCUAUAAGAGCAUAAGAUUGGCAGGAAAGUUGAUGUUCACAUAUGUCUGUUCUCACUAUAAUCAGGUACUUUAUCAGAAAUUAAUUUAAUACUAACUUUGAUGGGAUUAAAGAAAGACACAAAAAAAUUACACGUCUCAUAUCCUUAGCAUUCAUCAGGCUCAUCCUCCCCAAUGCAAAUUGUCGGUGAUAGAUUAUAAAAAACUUGUUUUUAUAUAUCUGCCUACAAAUCAUGAUCAAAGUAGAGUUCUUGUACAAAAUCACUGAGAACUAGUAGAUGGAUACACCCAGCUCUUGAACAGUCUGAUCCCAGAGCAUCUGUGUCGAUCCCCUGCUAACAAACAACACCUUCUUGUAAGGCACACACUAGUUAGUAGAUCAUACCUGUUAAGUCAGGUGGAAUUGGUCUCACCUCACUAAAGAGGUCUCUGGUGCAGACACCCCUAUCUGACAUACCUAUCAAGGCUCCCUCAAUAGGCAAGGGAUACUGAUUUACUGCUCUAGAAGGAGAUAUUUUUUCCUCUUUUAACUUAGGAUAAGUGACCAUGCCUUCCUAUUGUCUAUAAGGAGAGCAUGUUUAACUUAAACUGGAUUCCUAGCUUUGGUCAGUUGAAUGAAAUGAAUCUAUGAUAAAAGUAUGGGAAAUACUGACUUUUAAAGUUCACCUUACAGCUUAUAGAGACAGCAGACGGUGUCUGAGCCUUGGUGUGAUCUUCUCUUCAUACUUCUUCCAUGUUCUGCAAAUCUCAUCCUUUUGUUUACCUAAGAUGGACACUUCUUCCUAGUACUUCUCCAGAACAGAUCUUUCUCUUUCACUUCUUACCCAUGUGCUAUUCUUCAGAUCGAGGCAUUUGUGUUUGAUUGAUUGUUUGUUUGCUUUUCUUUGAGAAGCUGUCGAGGUUUUUGUCACAGAUGGUAUAAAUUGUUGUGCCUUACCUACAAAAGCUCCUUAGUGAGCACUAGGAUGAGCACAUGUGCUUGACAGUUAAUAGGUUCAGAAGUAAACUAAGGGUCCAAUACGCUUCAAGCAACAAAGCUGAAUUGGUGCUUCUCUCUUUCCUGGAAGAAAUAUGGGCUUUUUUCAAAGUUAAGUUUGUACCCAAACAAAUUAUGAAAAGAAUAUGACUCUCACUCAGCUUAAUUUCUUUCAGCCAGAUGGUGAAGGCAGCCACUCUCAAAGAAGGUCACAAGCUCCUUGUGGCUAAGAGUAAUCUAGAAUCCCCUUACUCAGGACUUCAGUAGAUUAGCAAAUACAGCUGUAUAAGCAAAUACCACUGGCACCGAGUAUUUGAAGAAUAAGUAAUGAGCAUUAUAUUCAGUAAUGCUUAUCAUAGGCUCAGAACAUAGAUAAUAUAAUUCCAGAGAUAAGUCGCUUUCUCAGAACAAAGUCACUUUCUUUUAUUUGUCUACAGUGCAUUGCAUUCCCCAUUAGGCUCAGUGCGUGGCCUAAGUAGCUAUGAGGUUUAACUUAGGAUUUAUUAUCCACUUCUUUUUAAGACCUAAACCUGUAAUGAAAACUGGAUCAUGCUACGUCUCAUUUUAAUAUAAAUGCAUAUUAAAAAAUAGGACUAUAAAGUAGAAGCCGUCUGCUGGCAGUGAGCUGCGGUCAUGAAACCAUUUGCAAGUGCCUUAAUUGAAUAGCUAACACUCCAAGAAUAGCAGGUUGAUUCCUUUCACAGCAUGUGUCGCACCAGCUGUGCAGGAAGAGGUGGUGGGGUCAUCUGCAAGUUAAUUUACAAACAAAACCAGUUAUAUAUCAGCAUUUCCACCACAAACAGCUUUUCCACAACAGUUACAUCCUCUUCAAAUAUUCUCAUGCAAAACUGUACUGAAAAGAUAUCUUGGGCUUUCUCCACUGCUAAAAUACACCAAGUAGUCAGGCCUUGUGUUAUAGCAAUUCACUGCCAUACUCAAGUAAUUUAUCCCAUGAGCAACAUGACUUCUUUAUCUCACUCAUAAAAGGUGCCCUGGGAGUGCUGAUACCAUCAAUUUUUCAAAUAGGACUCCCAGAUGUUGCAUGAGGUCUGGGUGGGUCUGUGAAGUAGGAGAUUUUGACAAUUUCUUUUAAGUUUUCCUUGCUGUGGGUGUUUAUAUUUAUCAAAAUUAAUUAAUUCAGGAGUUGUGUCUUGCAUGCACAAAUCUUCCAUUCAUAAGUUUUAGUAUAAGUCUGGACCAUGAUGCUCCUCACCAGCUUAUUGCUGUGUUUAAAUUCUUGUAGUGCCUUAGGCAUGUGGACCCUGACAAGGAGAAAUUCCUGUGCAGGAUCAGUGAACUCUCAGGGUCAUCUAUAUUCCCUGCUCUGCUGUAGAUUUGCUCUGUGGCUUCUUUUAACAAGUCCCAUUCCUGUUCUUCCUGUGCUGAAAGCCUCCCAGCUUACAGGUACUUACCAAGCUUUAAGGUUUGCCACAGCUUAAUUUAGCUGUUCUUUGGAUGUUUGGGUGCAAAGUAUAUAAGAAUUGCAAAGUUUGUUGAUGCACCAUCCACCACAAUGCCACAAAGGUCCCAUGUCUGGGACCUUUACUCCUGGACUGUGGAACAUACACACCAGCAUUAGAACUGAAGGUAUUCUGAAUGACUGUCUUUCAGAUGCCAAGUUGUCACCGUGCAUUGUGAUUUAAGAAGGUAUGACAAAUGUUUUACAAGAUUUUUAAUGGCUGUUAAAUCUAGAGUGCUGGAUGUAUUCCAGUUCAGGUAAUUACAUUCAGCCUGCUUAAAGACACUUUAACGGGAUAGAUCAUUCCUCACUGAGCCUCCAGUAUGGAAAGAAUGAGAGAAACACACAACACUGCUGACAUCCAGGGAACAGAGGAAUGCAAGGGAAUUUCUCAAGUAGGGGAGAAAGGAGAUGCAUAUAUUUGUAUAUCUUUGUGUAUAUUGGCUGAGAAGAAGGAGCCCUUGGAAAGUGAAAUAAACUUACUCUAGAAAAGCAGGAAAACUAUUUUCUGUGGAGAUGUUGUAAAAAGUGAAUUGAAUGCCAGACCAAAAUUUAGGGAGCUGUGUGAAACUCAGCAGACAGUUGAUGCCAAAUUGCUUGUUUGUUACUAAAUUAUAAACAUGUAGUAUUUUGAAAGUUGCCAUUUCAAACAUCAAGCUCCAGCCUAGAAAGCCUCGGGAUGUUUUCCAAAGAAAUAAGAAAUCAGGCUUGACAAAUGUUAUCUUCUGUUUUUGAACUCCAUAGACAUUUCUGGAUUGUGCUUUCAUAAAAGGAGGUUUAUUCUCAUGCUUUUGUGAGUGCCAGACUUUUAAAUUUGGUAAAUGUGAUAGCCCUGAAGGGCUCCUUAUACAGCAAUCAGUUAGUUCUUCUUUUCUUACAGCUGGUCUAUCUUUCUGCCACAAAUUCAUUUUCUUUUCUUACUGAGGAAAUGGAGAUGUAUUCACAGAUCUACAACCACAAAUUAAUUUGCAAGAAGAGUUUGACUGAUUUCAGUAAAUUGGAUAACACCUAUUAGUAUGAAAGAAGCAGGAAUUGCUGGCCUUUUAGGCAAUGCAGUAGAUAACAUCUGUUUUGAUGUAAUUUUGAGGACUGAAGAUAUGGGAACUUGGUGAGCAUUUUUAACGUUGCUGACUGUCUAUCACUUGUAUAAAUGGUUAAUUUUUAAUAAUUUGUUCAUUGCUAGUGGUAGACAGAGCAAUCAGAGACAAAGCACAUAACACUAAUCAAUCAUCCCUCUAUUGCAGUGAUUUCAGAGUAAUUUUGUCUCUAUCAGCCAUGAUUACCGUUCCUGAUUGGCUCUGAGCAAUGCCUACACCUGGCAUAUCCACAUUCUUAUGCCCAUUUGUUCACACUCUCUCUUAUUUUCCAUUACUCACCUACUUUACUUACUGCUGACAGAUUAUGCUAUUUUAUACUAUUAGCUAUUUAAUAUAGCCUACACCCUACAACCUUGGCUUGAUUGAGAAUAAUAUAUAUAAUUGUAUUAGAAAUGAUAAAUAAUCUGAAGAAGCUAGUUAAAAUGGAUGCUCGACUCUAAUAUUAAUUUUCCCAGGUUAGUUUUACCCCAUACACACUGGAUACCUUGUGUUGUUCAGGGAAAGAGCAAUAGAGACAUUUCUAGCCUCUGCGGGAAAUUAAGAAUCCUCUAGUGAGGAUCCUCCUGCUCUGAAAACAGUCUUUCAACUAAACAUGUAUUGGAGUUGUUGAAAUCUUAAAAUGGCUUUACUCCCAAGAUGUCAUCCUGUCUGGUGGCAAUCUUGGAGGGCUUCACACCUCACAAUAGAUUAUGAUUUAGAUAAAGAGGUGGGCUAGUUGUGAUGUAUUACCCUCUAAGGAAGGUUCUGUCUUAUUUAAUCAGACAGAAGAUAGGUUAGGCAGGUCUUUCAGCCCUGUGACCUUCUGAACACAAAUUAUUUCCAGAUAAAUAAAGAGCCUCCUCAGAGAUUUUUCUUCUAGAGGUUUCACAAAUACUUUUAAUCCUAUUACUUAUCAUCUGGAAAGCAGCUUAAUUCUUGGGAGCAGACAUGAAAACACUGUUUAAAAUUGAAUUAUAUAGUGAAUAUGCCACUAUAAAUUACAUAAAAUUAUUACUAUUAUAUAUAAUUCAGAUCACUAUAUUGUGAAUAUACCCUUAUAUGUAGUAAAUACAUAUUUAAGGUCUUUAUAAAUGAUCUGAGUGAUGAGGGAAGAGUGUACUCUCAGCAAAUUAGCAAUUUGCAAUUUGCAAUUGUGUAUCAUGCAAUUUGCUGAUGACAGAAAAUGGGGGGAGUGGAGGAUACACCAGAAGGUCAUGCUGCCACCCAGAGGGACCUCAACAAGCUGGAGAAAUUGGUUGAUAAGAACCCCAAGAUGUUCAACAAGUGCAAAGUCCUGAACGUGGAACGGAACAACCCCAGGCACCAGUGCAUGCAGAGGACUACCCAUCAGGAAAGGAGCUCUGCAGAAAAAGACCUGGGAGCCCUGGUGGACACCAAGCUGAACAUGAAUCAGCAGUGUGCCCUGGUGAAAAGAAGGUUCCUAUGAAGAAAGGCAGAGAGCUGGGACUGUUUAGCUUGAAGAAGAGAAAGCUUGGGGGAUCUUAUCAAUGUCUAUAAACAACUGCAGGGAGACAGCAAUGGCUGGAGCCAGGCUGUUUUCAUUGGCACCCAGUGACAGGACAAGAGGCAAUGGGCACAAACUGGAACACAAGAGGUUUCAAUGUCAGGACCUUUACUGAUGCAAGUCACUGGGCACUGGUAUAGAUUUUCCAGAGAGGUUGUUCAGUCUCUGUCCUCUGAGACAUUUAAAAGCCAUCUGGAAUUGGUCCUGGUCAACCUGUUCUCAGUGACCCUGUUUGACCCUGUUGACCCUCCAGACGUCCCUUCUAAUCUAAACCAUUCUUUUAUUCUGUGUUAUUUAAUCUUUAUUUUCAAAGUAAGAACUAAUUCAGAAUUUGGGAUUAUAGAACAUGAUUCAAGCCUAUUACAUCAGUAUCAGUCAUGAACAAAACUAUGGUUUUAUAUUGCAUUUGCCCCAGAGUAAAAUGUCCCAACUCUGUGCUGGAAUUUAGUUUUUUAUUGUUCUCCUGGUAUCUAAGGAUCUCAGGACAUCUAAGUGCAUUAAUGGCAUCUAAGGGCAACAGUAGUGCCAAAUAUCUUAGCAAUCUCUUUCACCUCAGACCUCCCCUAAUUGUCACAAUAUGUUAUCUGGCUUACAGCCUUUCAUAAGCUGGCUUAUAGACUUCUUCUUGUUCUGCUUUUGGCUAGGAUAGAGUUAAAUUUCCUCCUAGUAGUUGGUAUGGUGCUGUGUUUUGGAUUUAGAAUGAAAAUACUGUUGAUAACACACUGAUGUUUUAAUUGUUGCAGAGCAGUGCUUACACUAAGCCAAGGACUUUUCAUCUUCUCGCUCUUUCCUGCCAGUGGACAGGCUGGGGAUGCAAUGGGAGCUGGGAGGGGACAGAGCCAGGACAGCUCACCACAAGUGGCCAAAGGAAUAUUCCAUACCAUGUGAUGUGUUGUGUCCUGGUUUUAGCUGGGAUAGAGUUAAAUAUCAGAAAAAUAAAAACUGAGCAAUUGUGAUAAAACAAAACAGUGAUAGAUGGGUGCACACACAGCACACAUACGUGAUGGAGGCAGGGAUAAAAAUAUAAUUGUAAAACAAAUAGUGAGAAGCAUAAUUCGAAAGAUGAUAACGAAAUAAAAUAUUGGAAUUUGUACCUGUUACCAAUUGAGACAGAUACCACUGUGGCAGGCUCCAGUGUGGCCUUGUCACAAUCAUCUUGGGAACUUUUACUCAGGAAAGUGGUUUACAUUUUUAAUUCAGUGUUAUUAAUUCAUUAUUAAUUCAGCGUUAGUAUUCCCCCGUAAUGAUUUGGCCAGAUACCACUCAGAUCUAGAGCAGCACAUGCCGUUGCUGACCAAGAACCAGAAACUGCUUGGAACCACAACAUGAUCUCUCAUGUUUUACAUCCAUUCAGCUUUGAGUGUAAAAUAACAUCACAGGUGCCAUGAGAAACGUGGGAUCAAGGAUCCAUUCACUUCCUUGCCUAUGUAUAAUCAAACUCAGACAAGCAGCCCUUCAGAGCCUGCCCUUUCACUCUUCUCAGUCUCUUUUCACAAAUGUUAAAGGUGAAUGGUGGCCCCCGGGGACUCCUCCUGUCACCCCAGUGCAGCAGCCCAAAGGGAGCUGGGUCCUCUCUUGUGCUCUUCCUAGAGGCUCUGUGCAGAAAGGGCUGCCACCUCUCGCACAAGGGCUGGGGGAUGGGAAAGAAGCACUCACACAACCCCUGAGAAUUGGCAAGAGUCUUUAUUGCCAGGACAUCUUGCAGGCAAGCCUGCAGGAUGUCCAUUGUUUUUGGUGGCUCCAAGCUAAUGCUUGGCAUGGAGCCUGCGCGAUGAGUAGGGAGCUCGCUGGGCACUGCUGCGAUGCUGUUUGAGCUCUCUGAUGGCAGAGAGCGAUGACAGGCUGGGGUAGGUGCAGGUCUGCUCUGGCUGAGGUGGAUCCACUUCCAUCAGCUCUUCCUCAUCUCGUGGAUCCAGCUCCAUGGGCUCCACGGUGUUUGGCAGCAGGACAAGCCAGUCCUUGCCUGGGACUGCCCAGAUGGGAUGCCUUCUGUCUGGAAUGUUUUCAGGCCAGGGUGCCGAACCAGGGGGUCUUCCAGUUCCACGCUGAGGUCCCAUGCCACUGUCCAGUUGAUUUCCAUGCAUGGGGUCAACGUUGCCAUCUGUUUUACGGCUGUGACUGGGUCCCACGCUGUGUUCGGGAUUAUGGGCACGCCUGAUCUCCCCACGGCUGUCCAGCUGAUGGUCCUGCCUUCUCCCCACGCCACCAUUGCACCAAUGAUUAGGCCCAGGCCCCCUGUCGCUGUAUGUUUGAGGGGCUGGCCUGUUCCCUGCGACACUGCGGUGCCAAUGAAAUCGCCUAUAAAUGUCGGUGGGCUGGCCGCCAGAUGUCCCUCAAGCACUGGUGUUAGGUGUGCUGCAGGUGCUUUCCCUCUGCCCACGACACUUUUUCUCACUAGGUGCGUUCCUGCUCAGUGUUUCCUCAGACUGCAUUGCUGUCCUCACACCGAGAGGUCUGCUGCUCGCCUUGCUCUUUCUAGUUCUAGCCUCUGGCCUCUCAUCAGUGUAACUCAGAAUCAUAGAAACAUUAAUGUUGGAAAAGCUCUCCAAGAUCAUCUGGUCCAACCAUCACCCUAUGAUCAAUGUCACCCACUAAACCAUG